This 673-nucleotide ribosomal RNA is filed under the name Vairimorpha ceranae. Its description in RNAcentral is "SSU rRNA". It matches the Rfam family "Microsporidia small subunit ribosomal RNA", at positions 357 to 1067 of the family's 1311-position model. Lineage: Eukaryota; Fungi; Microsporidia; Nosematidae. The record is from RNAcentral.
GUAUAUGAGGUGAUUAAUUGGAGGGCAAAUCAAGUGCCAGCAGCCGCGGUAAUACUUGUUCCAAGAGUGUGUAUGAUGAUUGAUGCAGUUAAAAAGUCCGUAGUUUAUUUUUUUAAGAAGCAAUAUGAGGUGUACUGUAUAGUUGGGAGAAAGAUGAAAUGUGACGACCCUGACUGGACGAACAGAAGCGAAAGCUGUACACUUGUAUGUAUUUUUUGAACAAGGACGUAAGCUGGAGGAGCGAAGAUGAUUAGAUACCAUUGUAGUUCCAGCAGUAAACUAUGCCGACGAUGUGAUAUGAAAAUGUUAAUUUGUAUUACAUAAUAGAAAUUUGAGUUUUUUGGCUCUGGGGAUAGUAUGAUCGCAAGAUCGAAAAUUAAAGAAAUUGACGGAAGAAUACCACAAGGAGUGGAUUGUGCGGCUUAAUUCGACUCAACGCGAGGUAACUUACCAAUAUUUUAUUAUUUUGAGAGAACGGUUUUUGUUUGAGAAUGAUAAUAGUGGUGCAUGGCCGUUUUCAAUGGAUGCUGUGAAGUUUUGAUUAAUUUCAACAAGACGUGAGACCCUUAUUUUUUAUUAAAGACAGACACAAUCAGUGUAGGAAGGAAAGGAUUAAAACAGGUCCGUUAUGCCCUCUGACAUUUUGGGCUGCACGCGCAAUACAAUAGAUAUA